RNAcentral lists this ribosomal RNA (106 nucleotides) under Escherichia coli. RNAcentral also lists the same sequence under 2 other names. Lineage: Bacteria; Pseudomonadati; Pseudomonadota; Gammaproteobacteria; Enterobacterales; Enterobacteriaceae. The record is from RNAcentral.
UUAGCGCGGUGGUCCCACCUGACCCCAUGCCGAACUCAGAAGUGAAACGCCGUAGCGCCGAUGGUAGUGUGGGGCCUCCCCAUGCGAGAGUAGGGAACUGCCAGGC